RNAcentral lists this long non-coding RNA (333 nucleotides) under Felis catus (domestic cat). RNAcentral's name for it is "lncRNA (ENSFCAG00000047124.1)". The record is from RNAcentral. Lineage: Eukaryota; Metazoa; Chordata; Mammalia; Carnivora; Felidae.
CUGGCUCGGAAACCCCAGGCUUAAAAGCCAGCAGCAGCAAAUGAAAGGAAUAACCUGAAGACUUGAAGGAACCAAAUGCUUGAUCUCCAUUUAAGUUUGAAGGAGAAUUCUAGGUCCAUUGGCUAAGGCCGUUCUGUCAGGAAGUUCUAACAAAGGACUGAAACUCAUGGGCAUAGCCAUGGAAAAUCACAAUGAAAUAAUGAAGUGUCACCAAAGUUCACUUAAGUAACACAAAGUGAACCAACGAAACCGCUGUCUAUUCUUAUGCUUUAUGGAGGCCUUCCAUUUUUGUAUUUGUCGAAGAUAUAAAACCACAUCUCAAAACCCAUGUAA